AAAAGUGCAGCUGGAGAAUUUACGUGUACAUAUCAUUCAUUUAAUUCCAGAAGCCUUUUUUUCCCCAGUGAAGAUGAUCUCUAAUUCCCUCACGUGUCUACAUCUCAGAGGAGGCAGUGUGAGCCCAACAGUUUGAUGCUGCAAAGGCUGACUGACAAUGAAGACCCCCAGCUUAUAAGUUUCCCAGUAAAGCCUGUUCCUUUAUCUACGAUGCUGUGAACUUGCCUGAGCUCCAUUGUACAACAUCUACUUUGAGCUGCUUUCCAGAUGAUGACUAUUCUUUUGCCUUCCAUGCUCUCACCAUUGUAAGCUCUCUGGGGACCAACAUACAGAAUGAAGCAGCAAUCUUUCUAAUUGGAAGAAGGCAAAUAAAACCAUGAUCUAUUUUCCAGUGGGAUGUCUUUAAAGCACUUAAAAAGCAUCAUUUGGAUUUGGUAUGAGACUUGAGAAAUAUGUAAUUUUCAUUUCUCCGUUCUUAUUUAUGGCACUAUCAGUUUAGUUGAUUUGUAAAAUUUAUCCUGGCGUUUUCUGCCCUACAUCUCUAUGGAAAUAUCCAGGUUUGCUGAACAUGCCUCUUUUCUAUGGAUUUGAUGGAGGCACUGAAGAAAAGAAGUUGC
This 617-nucleotide long non-coding RNA is filed under the name Pan troglodytes (chimpanzee). RNAcentral describes it as "long non-coding RNA NONPTRT010495". Lineage: Eukaryota; Metazoa; Chordata; Mammalia; Primates; Hominidae. The record is from RNAcentral.